UAAAAGGACACCUCCCCGCCUCAGGCGAAACCCCGAAGCCAGUUCCCUAGAAAUCAAGACGGCAGAGGCUGCGGGCAUCAUUAGGGAUGAGAAGGUUUUCAAUGCCGAUGGGAGCGCUUCAGCGUGAACUACGAGACAACAAAUGGUAUCAAAGUUUUGGCGUCUGGGGCUCCCUCUGGUGAGGGGAAGUCUGUGACUCAAGCCGGUUCCUACUCAUACACAGACCCUGAAGGAACUUUCAUAGAAGUGAAGUAUAUAGCUGACGAAGGCGGAUACCAGCCCGAAUCCAGUGCUCUACCCGUGGCUCCAGAAUUCCCUCAUCCAAUUCCACAGUUCGUCCUUGACCAAAUUGCCAGAGCAGCUGAAGAAGAUGCUGCCGCAGCAGCAGCGGCAGCAGCAGCUGAUGCAACCGUCAAAAAUACUGGCAAUGCCGCCGUUCCUAACUCAGUCUCACUUCAGGGUCAGCAGAGCAACACAUACUACAAAGCCCAAUAACUAACAGUUUUAAUUCGCAAGAAAUUCUAUCACAAAUUGUAAUGUUGAUACUGAAACUUUCCGUCAGUAUAUUGCCUAAAGUUGUUCAAGUUUACCUCAAAAUUUAUGACUAAUAUUUAUUACGGCUUUGGUGUGUUAAUGAUCUCGCUUAAUAAACGAAACGCAAGAUA
Molecule: long non-coding RNA, 665 nt
Organism: Macrobrachium nipponense
Lineage: Eukaryota; Metazoa; Arthropoda; Malacostraca; Decapoda; Palaemonidae
Exons: 2
Source: RefSeq, a predicted model, not a curated record